GGAAGGAUCAUUGAAUCUAUCAAACCCACCCUGGUCACACUUUGUAGCCCCUCGGUAGUAAUGCCGGUAAGGCAUCGAUGUUCUCUCUUCCGGGAGAACAUCGGUGGACAGAGUUGAAGGCCUCCUUCAUUUUAUUGAUGAAGAAGGUAUUGAACAUCCCCCUAGGGGGGUGUUCAAUUUUUUUUCCUGUUGGUGUUUCUUAUAUCUCCACCCCUUAAAUCUGAAAAAGGUACUAGCAAUUGCUGGUGCCAUCAAAGGAAAGACAACUCUCAACAACGGAUAUCUUGGCUCCCGUAUCGAUGAAGAACGCAGCGAAAUGCGAUACGUAAUGUGAAUUGCAGAAUCAUGUGAAUCAUCGAAUUUUUGAACGCAUAUUGCGCCCGAGCCUCGGCAAGGGCAUGUCUGCCUCAGCGUCGGUUUACCCCUCCAAAAACUCCUCCUUUAACCAGGCAAGAGCUAUUGGGAAAUGACCUCCCCUGCCACCUAUUGGCGGCAAGGCUGGUCGAAAUAAAUGUCAGUGUCUCCAAUAAAACAAAGGCACACUAUGGUAGGCAAUCCAUCUGGGUUGCACUGCCUGUGAGUCUUUGGGAAGGCAUUGUUCACGCAGGAGUUGGCUUAAAUGUGCCAACAGCCAUUAACCAUCUGACCUGAGAUCAGACAAGAGCACCCGCUGAACUUAAGCAUAUCAAUAAGCGGAGGAGAAGAAACUAACAAGGAUUCCCUUAGUAGCGGCGAGCGAACCGGGAAGUGCCCAACUUGUAAAUCUCUGGCCUUUGGCCGGCGAAUUGUAGUCUAUAGAAGCGCCCUCUGCGGCAGAUCGGCCUCAAGUCCCUUGGAAGAGGGUGUCAGAGAGGGUGAGAGCCCCGUCGGCGCCGAUUUUUGCCGCUCCACGAGACGCUUUCGAAGAGUCGGGUUGUUUGGGAAUGCAGCCCAAAGCCGGUGGUAAAUCCCAUCUAAGGCUAAAUACUGACGGGAGACCGAUAGCGAACAAGUACCGUGAGGGAAAGAUGAAAAGAACUUUGAAAAGAGAGUUAAAAGUGCUUGAAAUUGUUGAGGGGGAAGGGAUUGGAGGCUGUAGGUGCGCUCGGGCUAAUGGGUCACGUCAGUGUCUCUGUAUGUGCCGAGUGCCGGUCAGCAUCGGUUGUCAGGUCGGGAGAAAAGCGUCCAUUCGUUGGGCGCCCAUGCCGACUUGGCGAUCGAGGAGUAAAGGUACCCCGGUCCUUUUGGAUCAGUGCCUUCACGAUGCUGGCAGAAGGCUUCCAAUCCGCCCGUCUUGAAACACGGACCAAGGAGUCUAACAUGUAUGCGAGCGGGUGGGUGGCAAACCCAUGACGCGUAAGUAACCUGACUGGUGGGAGGGCGUAAGCCCGCACCAUCGACCGACCAUGAUCUUCUGUGAAAGGUUUGAGUACGAGCAUGCCUGUUGGGACCCGAAAGAUGGUGAACUAUGCCUGAGCAGGGCGAAGCCAGAGGAAACUCUGGUGGAGGCUCGUAGAUGUGCUGACGUGCAAAUCGCUUUUCGGACUUGGGUAUAGGGGCGAAAGACUAAUCGAACCAUCUAGUAGCUGGUUCCCUC
This 1576-nucleotide unclassified non-coding RNA is filed under the name uncultured fungus. Its description in RNAcentral is "sequence contains 18S rRNA gene, ITS1, 5.8S rRNA gene, ITS2, 28S rRNA gene". The stretch from base 644 to 1576 matches the Rfam family "Eukaryotic large subunit ribosomal RNA", at positions 1 to 961 of the family's 3401-position model. The record is from RNAcentral. Lineage: Eukaryota; Fungi.